RNAcentral lists this long non-coding RNA (1117 nucleotides) under Medicago truncatula (barrel medic). RNAcentral describes it as "long non-coding RNA (MTRU_LNC001198)". The record is from RNAcentral. Lineage: Eukaryota; Viridiplantae; Streptophyta; Magnoliopsida; Fabales; Fabaceae.
UUUUUUAAUUCUUCAUCUUCUACCUCGAGACGGGUCAUAAAGACCCGACUGAAAACCCACGCAACCCGGAAUAUAAAAACCAUAACUUUAUGCCUUUUUUUACACUGAAAACUCAAUUUGAACACAGAAUCAUAAACCAAAUUACAUAUCCUUGUGAUUUCAAUCCAAUUUCUUCAUCUUUAAACACAACAAGUGAAAAAAAAAAAUUAAUUUCAACAAAAUAUACUUAAAAUUGGAGAUAACGAAAUUGCAAGCUAGAGGUUAACAAAGAUCCGACAACAAAUGUUAGAAUUCCUCCACAACAUGUUGCCAAAAGAUUAUAAUCUAAAUCUAUGAAGAAGUAUGGGAAACCCAUCCACAACAUGCAUUCUGUUAACAUUCGUUGCUUUUCCGUUGAUCUUGAAUAUGUCUUUGUUGCUGUAAACCAGAACUAUGUCGUCGAACUUAUAGAAAUUUUGUUUGAUGUAACGCCGGUGAGCGGUGCCGGAGAGGUCGCCGGCGAUGGGGAGUGAGGAAGAAAGAAGUUUGGAUCUUAAAAUAUCGGGUUAAAUAUGUUUUUGGUCCCUAUAAAUAUACCAACUUUUCGUUUUAGCCCUCUAAAAUUUUCCUUCAACUUUUAGUCCCUAUAAAAUUUUCAAUCUUCACUUUUGGUCCCUCGUUUAAAGUAAACUCAUAUGUAAAAUACAUAUUUUAUAGAAUUUUGCAGAAAAAUGUAUAAUAUUAUAAGGAUCACUCCCAAAAUAAAUUAGAAUUUUUUACCAUAACAUGAAUUAAAUAUGAAUUUUUAUAUUUUUGAUGGUAAAAAAUUCAUAUUGAAUUCAUGUUUUGUUAAAAAAUUCUAUUUUUUUUUUUGGAGUGAUUUUUACAAUAUUCUAUACAUUUCUGACCAAUUUCAUUAAAAAAUACAAAAAUUUACUUAAAAAUAGGGACCAAAACUAGUGAUUAAGAAUUUUAUAGAGACUAAAAGUUGAAGGAAAAUUUUAGAGGGACUAAAACGAAAAGUUGACAUAUUUAUAGGAACCAAAAACAUAUUUAACCCUAAAAUAUUUGAGCGUGGGACAAUAAUGAGUUGCUAUGUUUUUGUUGGGAUGUGUUAGAGUGUGGAGAGAUGUUUGUG